Molecule: small nuclear RNA, 107 nt
Filed under: Sus scrofa (pig)
Lineage: Eukaryota; Metazoa; Chordata; Mammalia; Artiodactyla; Suidae
Source: RNAcentral
GUGCUCGCUUCGGUAGCACAUAUACUAAAAUUGGAAAGAUACAGAGAAGAUUAGCAUGGCCUCUGUGCAAAGAUGACAUGCAAACUCAUGAAGCGUUCCCUUUUUUU